UCAGGAGAUCGAGACCAUCCUGGCUAACACAGUGAAACCCCGUCUCUACUGAAGAUACAAAAAAAUUAGCCGGGCAUGGUGGCGGGCGCCUGUGGUCCCAGCUACUUGGGAGGCUGAGGCAGGAGAAUGGCGUGAACCCGGGAGGCAGAGCUUGCAGUGAGCCAAGAUCGUGCCACUACACUCCAGCCUGGGUGACAGAGCAAGACUCCGUCUCAAAAAAAAAAAAAAAAAAAAAAAAA
RNAcentral lists this long non-coding RNA (239 nucleotides) under Homo sapiens (human). RNAcentral describes it as "HSALNT0311900". Lineage: Eukaryota; Metazoa; Chordata; Mammalia; Primates; Hominidae. The record is from RNAcentral.